Molecule: ribosomal RNA, 253 nt
Filed under: uncultured bacterium
Lineage: Bacteria
Description: partial 16S ribosomal RNA
Rfam family: Bacterial small subunit ribosomal RNA
Source: RNAcentral
UACGGAGGGUGCGAGCGUUACCCGGAUUUACUGGGUGUAAAGGGCGCGUAGGCGGUUAUUCAAGUCCGAUGCUAAAGACCGAAGCUCAACUUCGGGAGUGCGUUGGAUACUGGAUGGCUAGACGAUCGGAGAGGGUAGCGGAAUGGUCAGAGUAGCGGUGAAAUGCGCAGAUACUGAUCGGAACGCCAAUAGCGAAAGCAGCUACCUGGACGAUAAGUGACGCUGAGGCGCGAAAGCGUGGGGAGCAAACCGG